RNAcentral lists this ribosomal RNA (527 nucleotides) under uncultured bacterium. RNAcentral's name for it is "bacterial SSU rRNA". It matches the Rfam family "Bacterial small subunit ribosomal RNA", at positions 8 to 526 of the family's 1533-position model. The record is from RNAcentral.
AGAGUUUGAUCAUGGCUCAGAUUGAACGCUGGCGGCAGGCCUAACACAUGCAAGUCGAACGGUAGCACAGAGAGCUUGCUCUCGGGUGACGAGCGGCGGACGGGUGAGUAAUGUAUGGGGAUCUGCCCGAUAGAGGGGGAUAACUACUGGAAACGGUAGCUAAUACCGCAUAAUCUCUAAGGAGCAAGGCAGGGGAACUUCGGUCCUUGCGCUAUCGGAUGAACCCAUAUGGGAUUAGCUAGUUGGUGAGGUAAAGGCUCACCAAGGCGAUGAUACAUAGCCGACCUGAGAGGGUGAUCGGCCACAUUGGGACUGAGACACGGCCCAAACUCCUACGGGAGGCAGCAGUAGGGAAUCUUCGGCAAUGGACGAAAGUCUGACCGAGCAACGCCGCGUGUAUGAAGAAGGCCUUAGGGUUGUAAAGUACUUUCAGUUGGGAGGAAGGCGUUGAUGCUAAUAUCAUCAGCGAUUGACGUUACUCGCAGAAGAAGCACCGGCUAACUCCGUGCCAGCAGCCGCGGUAAUAC